Molecule: ribosomal RNA, 503 nt
Filed under: uncultured bacterium
Lineage: Bacteria
Description: partial 16S ribosomal RNA
Rfam family: Bacterial small subunit ribosomal RNA
Source: RNAcentral
AUUGAACGCUGGCGGCAGGCUUAACACAUGCAAGUCGAGCGGGGUGAUGGUGCUUGCACUAUCACUUAGCGGCGGGCGGGUGAGUAAUGCUUAGGAAUCUGCCUAUUAGUGGGGGACAACAUCUCGAAAGGGAUGCUAAUACCGCAUACGUCCUACGGGAGAAAGCAGGGGAUCACUUGUGACCUUGCGCUAAUAGAUGAGCCUAAGUCGGAUUAGCUAGUUGGUGGGGUAAAGGCCUACCAAGGCGACGACCUGUAGCGGGUCUGAGAGGAUGAGCCGCGCAACUGGGACUGAGACACGGCCCAGACUCACACGGGAGACAGCAGUGGGGAAUAUUGGACAAUGGGGGGAACCCUGAUCCAGCCAUGCCGCGUGUGUGAAGAAGGCCUUAUGGUUGUAAAGCACUUUAAGCGAGGAGGAGGCUCUUUUGGUUAAUACCCAAGAUGAGUGGACGUUACUCGCAGAAUAAGCACCGGCUAACUCUGUGCCAGCCGCCGCCGUAA